RNAcentral lists this unclassified non-coding RNA (158 nucleotides) under uncultured Phaeosphaeria. Its description in RNAcentral is "sequence contains ITS1". Lineage: Eukaryota; Fungi; Ascomycota; Dothideomycetes; Pleosporales; Phaeosphaeriaceae. The record is from RNAcentral.
CCAAUCCCUGUGCAGCCUGGGCUCAUACCUAGGCUGGAUAGGCUUGAUACUGCCCCUGUAUUUUGCGCACUCAUGUUUCCUUGGUGGGCUUGCCUGCCAAAAGGACUAUACCAUAACCUCUUUAAUCUUGUAUCAACGUCUGAAUAAUAUAAUUAUUA